UACGUAGGGACCAAGCGUUGUUCGGAUUUACUGGGCGUAAAGGGCGCGUAGGCGGCUUAACAAGUCACUUGUGAAAUCUCCGGGCUUAACUCGGAACGGCCAAGUGAAACUGUCAAGCUAGAGUGCAGAAGGGGCAAUCGGAAUUCUUGGCGUAGCGGUGAAAUGCGUAGAUAUCAAGAGGAACACCUGAGGUGAAGACGGGUUGCUGGGCUGACACUGACGCUGAGGCGCGAAAGCCAGGGGAGCGAACGGG
Molecule: ribosomal RNA, 253 nt
Filed under: uncultured bacterium
Lineage: Bacteria
Description: partial 16S ribosomal RNA
Rfam family: Bacterial small subunit ribosomal RNA
Source: RNAcentral